UGCAGUCGUAGGGGACNACGUACUUGCUCUGUCUGAUCAGUGGCGAACGGGUGAGUAACACGUGAGUAACCUGCCCCCGACUCUGGAAUAACCGUGGGAAACGACGGCUAAUACCGGAUAUGAGACGCACGGGCAUCUGUGUGUCUGGAAAGAUUUAUCGGUCAGGGAUGGACUCGCGGCCUAUCAGCUUGUUGGUGGGGUAAUGGCCCACCAAGGCGACGACGGGUAGCCGGCCUGAGAGGGCGACCGGCCACACUGGGACUGAGAUACGGCCCAGACUCCUACGGGAGGCAGCAGUGGGGAAUAUUGCACAAUGGGCGCAAGCCUGAUGCAGCGACGCCGCGUGAGGGAUGAAGGCCUUCGGGUUGUAAACCUCUUUCAGCAGGGAAGAAGCGAAAGUGACGGUACCUGCAGAAGAAGCGCCGGCUAACUACGUGCCAGCAGCCGCGGUAAUACGUAGGGCGCAAGCGUUGUCCGGAAUUAUUGGGCGUAAAGAGCUCGUAGGCGGUUUGUCGCGUCUGCUGUGAAAACCUGAGGCUCAACCUCGGGCUUGCAGUGGGUACGGGCAGACUAGAGUGCGGUAGGGGUGACUGGAAUUCCUGGUGUAGCGGUGGAAUGCGCAGAUAUCAGGAGGAACACCGAUGGCGAAGGCAGGUCACUGGGCCGCAACUGACGCUGAGGAGCGAAAGCAUGGGGAGCGAACAGGAUUAGAUACCCUGGUAGUCCAUGCCGU
RNAcentral lists this ribosomal RNA (733 nucleotides) under uncultured bacterium. RNAcentral describes it as "bacterial SSU rRNA". It matches the Rfam family "Bacterial small subunit ribosomal RNA", at positions 56 to 803 of the family's 1533-position model. The record is from RNAcentral.